This 256-nucleotide ribosomal RNA is filed under the name uncultured bacterium. RNAcentral's name for it is "partial 16S ribosomal RNA". It matches the Rfam family "Bacterial small subunit ribosomal RNA", at positions 524 to 774 of the family's 1533-position model. The record is from RNAcentral.
UACGAGGGGGGCAAGCGUUUGUUCGGAAGUUAUUGGGCGUAAAGGGUGCGUAGGCGGUUUGGUAAGUCUUAUGUGAAAUCUACAGGCUCAACUUGUAGUCUGCAUGAGAAACUGCCGGGCUUGAGUAUGGGAGAGGUGAGUGGAAAUUCCUGGUGUAGCGGUGAAAUGCGCAGAUAUCAGGAGGAACACCGAUGGCGAAGGCAGGUCUCUGGGCCGGAUACUGACGCUGGAGGAGCGAAAGCGUGGGGAGCAACAG